AUGGCCACGGGGUCCGCGGCCCGCGUGACGACGAGGUAGUCCCGGAUGGCCGUCCCGUGCCGGUCCUC
This 68-nucleotide small RNA is filed under the name Streptomyces sp. VN1. Its description in RNAcentral is "ASdes TB sRNA". It matches the Rfam family "ASdes TB sRNA". Lineage: Bacteria; Bacillati; Actinomycetota; Actinomycetes; Kitasatosporales; Streptomycetaceae. The record is from Rfam by way of RNAcentral.